UACACUCCUGCGGGAGGCAGCAGUGGGGAAUUUUGGACAAUGGGCGAAAGCCUGAUCCAGCAAUGCCGCGUGUGUGAAGAAGGCCUUCGGGUUGUAAAGCACUUUUGUCCGGAAAGAAAUCCUUGGCUCUAAUACAGUCGGGGGAUGACGGUACCGGAAGAAUAAGCACCGGCUAACUACGUGCCAGCAGCCGCGGUAAUACGUAGGGUGCGAGCGUUAAUCGGAAUUACUGGGCGUAAAGCGUGCGCAGGCGGUUUGCUAAGACCGAUGUGAAAUCCCCGGGCUCAACCUGGGAACUGCAUUGGUGACUGGCAGGCUAGAGUAUGGCAGAGGGGGGUAGAAUUCCACGUGUAGCAGUGAAAUGCGUAGAGAUGUGGAGGAAUACCGAUGGCGAAGGCAGCCCCCUGGGCCAAUACUGACGCUCAUGCACGAAAGCGUGGGGAGCAAACAGGAUUAGAUACCCUUGUAGUCCC
RNAcentral lists this ribosomal RNA (473 nucleotides) under uncultured organism. RNAcentral's name for it is "partial 16S ribosomal RNA". It matches the Rfam family "Bacterial small subunit ribosomal RNA", at positions 332 to 797 of the family's 1533-position model. The record is from RNAcentral.